AUCUUUUUAGUUUAUUUUUAAAAUAUGAUUUUGAAGCAGUCAAGAAUAAAAAGAUG
This 56-nucleotide transfer RNA is filed under the name Strongyloides cebus. Its description in RNAcentral is "tRNA-Phe". The record is from RNAcentral. Lineage: Eukaryota; Metazoa; Nematoda; Chromadorea; Rhabditida; Strongyloididae.